ACUCCUACGGGAGGCAGCAGUGGGGAAUCUUGCGCAAUGGCCUAACGGCUGACGCAGCGACGCCGCGUGUGGGAUGAAGCUCCUCGGAGUGUAAACCACUGUUGCCCGGGACGAAUAGCUCGAUUAAUCGAGCCUGACGGUACCGGGUGAGGAAGCACCGGCUAACUCCGUGCCAGCAGCCGCGGUAAU
RNAcentral lists this ribosomal RNA (189 nucleotides) under uncultured bacterium. RNAcentral describes it as "partial 16S ribosomal RNA". It matches the Rfam family "Bacterial small subunit ribosomal RNA", at positions 335 to 524 of the family's 1533-position model. The record is from RNAcentral.